RNAcentral lists this transfer RNA (68 nucleotides) under Sphaerodactylus townsendi. Its description in RNAcentral is "tRNA-Ala". The record is from RNAcentral. Lineage: Eukaryota; Metazoa; Chordata; Lepidosauria; Squamata; Sphaerodactylidae.
GCGUGGCUCAGUGGUAAGACAUCUUCUUGGCAUGAAGGAGGUCCUGGGCUCAAUUCCUGGCAUCUGUA